CACGUAGGGGGCGAGCGUUGUCCGGAUUUAUUGGGCGUAAAGAGCUCGUAGGCGGUUUCGUAAGUCGGAUGUGAAAACUCCAGGCUCAACUUGGAGACGCCAUUCGAUACUGCGAUGACUUGAGUCCGGUAGGGGAGUGUGGAAUUCCCGGUGUAGUGGUGGAAUGCGUAGAUAUCGGGAGGAACACCAGUGGCGAAGGCGGUUGCCUGGGGCUUUGCUGACGCUGAGGCGCGAAAGCGUGGGGAGCGAUCCGG
RNAcentral lists this ribosomal RNA (254 nucleotides) under uncultured bacterium. Its description in RNAcentral is "partial 16S ribosomal RNA". It matches the Rfam family "Bacterial small subunit ribosomal RNA", at positions 524 to 776 of the family's 1533-position model. The record is from RNAcentral.